This 628-nucleotide long non-coding RNA is filed under the name Prunus dulcis (almond). RNAcentral describes it as "sRNA ncRNA". Lineage: Eukaryota; Viridiplantae; Streptophyta; Magnoliopsida; Rosales; Rosaceae. The record is from RNAcentral.
GCCUGUCCUUCGCUGUCGCUAUUCUAACUAAACUGAAAGAAUAUCAAAUUCUGAGCAAGUAAAAUAACUGUAUGAAAAAUCUUCUGAUUCACAACAUGUGUUGAUAUGGUUUGAAAGAGAAGAUUGAGUUCAUAGAUUUGUGGGGUGUGGAGUGAGUUGGAAAUUUAUUUCUUACCUGUCUUAAAUAUAAAAGAGAAAAGAAAAUGAAAUGCAAUCUUGGAUCUUCCUUGCUAUGCGACAUGACCCCAUCAUUGAUAAAGAUUAGGCAGCAGAAAUUCUGGCUUCCAUGUUUUGGGUCUUUCACUUUACUCUCUCAGCAUCUAGGUGAAUGCUUUAUUAUAUUAAAAGAAGAAAGAAAGUAAGAAAGAAAAGAAAAAAAAAAAAAGUAGUAUUCUGGCUUUAGUCUUGCUGUCAUUGUGAUGGUAUCUUGUACAAUGUAGAGGACCAAAACUUUCACUGGUGUGAUGAUGAACAAGAGUGAACUAAACUACAAAAGUGGCUUUGCAUGUCUUGCAAGUUUCCCUCUCCUCUGAGUCUCUGUUCAGGAAAGCAAUCAUUAUAGCUUUAUGGACCCUUAAUGUGUCUGCUGUUCUUUAGGCAGACACUUUGUAGUGGGCUUCACCUUCCC